This 207-nucleotide ribosomal RNA is filed under the name Triticum aestivum (bread wheat). RNAcentral describes it as "partial small subunit ribosomal RNA". The record is from RNAcentral. Lineage: Eukaryota; Viridiplantae; Streptophyta; Magnoliopsida; Poales; Poaceae.
CUUUUGGGAGAUUUCAACUUUACUCUUAGGCCCUCUGAUCGCUCUAACGACAACUUCAAUCAUCUCGAAGCAGCUAUGUUUUCCUCUACCCUUAACCUCCUCCAUCUUCAGGAGCUUCCUCUUCUCGACAGGCUCUUUACGUGGUCUAAUCAACAAGAUUCUCCUAUUUUAGUUCACCUUGAUAGGGUUUUUGUCAACACCGACUGA